This is a long non-coding RNA of Taeniopygia guttata (zebra finch), 1489 nucleotides long. RefSeq lists it as uncharacterized. The record is from RefSeq and is a predicted model, not a curated record. Lineage: Eukaryota; Metazoa; Chordata; Aves; Passeriformes; Estrildidae.
AGCGUUUUAAUAGUAGCUGUAAGUGGUACCACAACCCAGGUCUGUGAGCUGGGCACAAACAGCAGCUGCUGAAAGGAAGGUGCAUGCUCAGUGGAUCAACAGCCAGCUCUUGAUCUAAGCUAAUACUUCAUACUGCAGCUGGUACCCAGAGCAUGCUGCCAGAAGGAGGUGCUUUUUUCUGUACUACAUAAUUGAAACUCUGCUGGAGGCAGUGAUACCAGUUCCAGACAUGCUCUGGUGCAGGAAAGCAAAGUCUCUCAUAGAGGCUGAAACAAAGCAAAGGCAUUAUAGUUACAACUUAUAUUGGAUCAUGAUGCAUGUAGCUCUUAUCUCCGUUUCUCACAAACGGGUAAGAACUGCACAAAGAUUAUUAAACUGCACACAAUUCACUGAUCUGGGAUUCACACUUUGUAAGGAAACAAAACCAGGACAGUUCUAUCUCAGGGAUUAACUCUGCAAAAUAGUUAAUUUUGCAGGAGAGGGCAGACAUCAGAAUUCUCUUUUAGCAAACAGCAAGCAUUGACCAAAACAAGUAUGUGAGGCAGGCUGAGAUAGCAAUUUUUCCUCCCAGGACAAGCUUGUACAAUGGAACCCCUUAUCACAGAAAAAUACUAGAGCUGAUGAAAGUCCCUGCUUUCAUAUGAGCAAUCAGUGAGAGAAGGGGCUCCCAAGAUUUCCAUUUGGAGAUUAGAAAGCUGUGUACCCGCAUUCUUCAUACACAUCUUUGAAUACUUGACUUCAGCCACUGUCAGAGAUGACAGCUGUUCUGAGAGGAUGGUCAGAAAGGUAGAAAUGCUUAGCCAACGAAUUCAGGAUCAGAAAAAGCAAGCAAAUGCCCAAACCAUUACAGCAACCCAAGAAAUUAGCAGGAAGUCUAAGCUUCCCUAAUUUAGUAACAGCUAGUCACAUGGAGAGUCUCAAAUAAUACUGUAACUCCUUGUGUAAGCAUUUAAUAGCCUCCUCUUGGGUUACUGAGACAUAAAUCUGGAAACAUAUUUCACCAUAAAAGCAGUUUGAGAAAGAGGAAGCUCUGUGGUCAAUAGGACAAGAAAGUUCAGUUCAGGAUGCUCCAGUUUCUCAAUGCAUUGCAGCAGGUUACUUCAAGUAAGAUCCAGUCCAUUGCAACUGAUUAAUACAAUGGCCUGAAUUGUCACAGCAGAUACCAGGUUUUGUGUCUUACUGCACUACAGACUUACAUUCCAAGGUUCCUGUUACUGGAGGUUAGCUUGAAGAGCAAUUCAUAGCUAUUCUCUGGAAAGAUCAUGGGUAUAGGUUUUCUAGAACAAAAUCAUCACUAAAAAUUAGAUUAACAGAAAUAGAUGGUCAAAAUUUUUGCUGUAUAUUUUAUUUAAUGUAACAUAAUCCAUCAAAUAUCACAUCUACCAAUAACCCUCUAAAAAUCCCAUUCAACCUUCCUUCAAAGAAAUCUCUCUGGCCUAUCAGCUUCCCACUGCACCGUCACCUUUCCAGCCAACCUGACACAAAUCCA